CCUAGCAAUCCAGGCAUGUUAGAAAGCUUGACCCACUGAUCUAAAAAAAAGACUGGAUCGAGCAACCUAUUGUUUUCACACGCCAAAAUUUGAAGCCAGAUUUUUUCGAUCGCCGCCAUCUUGGUGAGACCACCUUACGCGCCACAGCUUUGUGAUUGUGCUGGUAUACAAACGCAGAAUUAGUGAAAAAUCAUCAAAAACAUCAGGAGUGCCAGUGAAGGAAGCGAGGAUGAGGAAACACAACUUAAAAAGCACUUCCCAAGAACCUUCCACUCGAGCCCCCUCGGUGGCUACAGGGCCCUCCCCCUCCGCCUUCUUCUCCUCACUCGUGGUCACCAUCGUUUCUGACUGAGUGACUGUGGCGGUGCUCUUCACUGUCGCCCCCUCGUGGCCGGAGACAGGCCCACUGCUGGCCUUGACAGCACCAAAUGAGCAGCUAGAAUAGGAUGGGGUGCGAGAGCUCUCCAGGCCAUAAGCGUUGUAGUUCACAGCUGUGCGUUAAAAAAAUAGAAUAACAUUCGGCACAUAUUUCAGAGAUCAAAAUAUGUUUUUUAAAAAUCAUUCAAACUAAUAAAAUGCAUACACGUCACUUUGGACACGUUGGUCUUGAUUCCAGUAGCGAGCCUACAAAGGGAGACAGAUGGCUUACUAAACGUUACAUGACAGCAUGAUGAAGAAAGAGUGUCCACGCUCAUCAUCAUACCUGUCCUCUUCUCCCUCAAGAAGCUUCCUGUAGGUGGCGAUCUCAAUGUCCAAUGCAAGCUUCACAUUCAUCAGUUCCUGGUACUGGCGGACCUGCAGGGCCAUGUCCUGCUUGGCCCUCUGAAGAGCCUCCUCCAGUUCUCGAAUGCGGAGUUUGGCAUCCUUCACUGCCAGCUCACCGCGCUCCUCGGCCUCGGCGAUCUGAGCCUCCAAAUUAUUUAUCUGAAAACAGAGACUGCAGCCUCAUGAUCCUGCGGUUCAUGUCCGCGAUCUCCGCCUUGGUUAACUUGAGGUCGUCACCGCAUCUGCCAGCUGACUCCUGCAUCUCUGCAUACUGGACACACACAAGAAUUAUAUGAGAUAUUCCAUUUUAUAUAUAUUUUGUUAUUUAUAUGCAUUCCCAAUAUAGCUUAGCCAGUGGUUAAUAUCUACAGUUGAUUAGAAGGUUUUCAAAGUGUCUUAAAAUGAUUUUCUGGGGUAUAUUUUGUGGUUCCAGCUCAAGAAAAAAAAAAAAGCAUGUUGCUUUUGACAUAACUUUGCAAAAGACGUCUCAAGCUGCUGCACUUCCCCUGAAGUCGACUGGUGUCUCCCAGAACCCAAAUAACUUUUAACUUGUUUGACUCUAGAAAACAUACAACAGUCGUCCAUCGCUACAUCGCGGUUCGAACAUUGUUCCCUCACUCUAUCACAGUUCUUCAAAAAUGUAUUAACUAAUAAAUUAUCUCUGUUUUGUGGCUGUCCAAAAAUACUUAAAGUUAAAUGUAGUAUUCUGGUGACUAGAUGUCAGUAAUGUUACAUUGACGAGACAUGACAUUAUAUUACAUUACCUUCACACUGCAUGUAGUCAGCAAUGGCACGCCUGACAUGAUCGAAAGUUCUCCUCCCAUUCUGUGUGGAAGUGGUAAGUGUUUGGCUUCUUACUUUGUCCUUCCUUCCCGCUCCGUUUGAAACACUUUCUUAAUUUUUGAAUAAGUAAAUUGGAGAGGCUAACCAGUUAGCUCGGUCGCUUGCUAUGCCUGCGGCGGCGUCUCUUAUGUCCCGUAGCCUGCGCAAGGUGGUGUAAACAAAGAAUAACAGGAGUGUAAAGGGGUGUUAUUUCAUGUCUACAGGGCUCUAAUGAUGUUAAAAAGCAUAUUUACAAAGCCAUAAACAUAUUUUGUAUGCUCUAACUAAGAAAAUAUUCAGUUUAUAAAUGAUAAACAUGAUCAACAAGGGACGACUGUAUAGAUGAAAGAACCAUCCAACACCACCAAUGACAUUAAACGAGAGAACACUGCAAUGUGACCACACGUCAGUAGACUUUGUCACCUUGGACUGGUACCAUGAUUCAGCUUCCGCUCUGCUUCGAUUGGCGAUGUCUUCAUACUGGGCGCGCACUUCAGCAACAAUGGCAUCCAUGUCAAGGUUACGGCUGUUAUCCAUCUCCACGACCACGGAUGUGUCCUUGAUCUGACUCUGUAGCUCGUGGAUUUCCUACACAAGGAAGACCAAAAGACAUGAAGAUCCUAUAAAAGACACCAAAAAAUAGCGACAUAUUCAUUCAUGUAAGACUAAACUAUAAGAUAAAUUCAUUACAGCGUCAUAGAUCUGCCUCAGGAAGUCGAGUUCAUCAGAAAGUCCGUCCAGUUUGGCCUCCAGCUCUGCUUUGAUCAAGUACGCCGCAUCUGUGUCCUGCAUGGUGACACACAGCGGCUCAUUGUUGCAUGAGGUCACAACCAACAUGACAAGUGACGCUUUUCGGGUCUUCUAAUUUCAGUGUGAACAUCAAAUAUUGGUCGGUCGACCUGGACAAACCUUCUUCAUGAGGACAAAGUUGUUCUCACAGUCAUUGCGCUUGUUGAUCUCAUCCUCGUAUCUAAAAAGCAGAGCCACAUGCAUUCACAGCAAACUGUAGGCGAUAUCUUGUAGUUGAUGCUGAAAUGAAUACCUACGGAAGCAAUUCAUUGCACAUUCCUACCAACAUCACUCUAUCUGUUGAGUUACAGUUCCAACUUCUGUUCCGUUACAGUCCGAGCCUGGCCCUUUAAGAAUUGCAUUGUGGGAAGUUGAGUGUCUACCUCUUCCCUCUUUUGUCUGUCUGCACCGCCCAUUGUUUUCUGCCUCCUGAUUGGCUGUAGACCAAUCAGUCAACCAAUCUCCUUUGUGCCACCCCUCCAUGUCUCCUGUGUCGUCGCUAGCUUGCUUGCUUGCUAGCUUGUAAAUGAAUCUUCGGUUCUCUGCAACAAUAUGUUUUAACAAGGAUAGAAAAACGCUACAGUACAGCGGAACGGUGCCAGGACGAAAAGGCACAGGACUGAAGUAUGUAGGGAACGUGCAUGUCACAUGGUGACACUACACAUAAUGCAAUGCGCAGUGGGAUUUACUGCUGACCAGUCCUGGAACCAGUCAUCGUCCACGUGCCUGGACAGGAUACGCGCGCACCCAACGCCAAUCAGAUGCUGGUUGUACAAAAUAGA
Molecule: long non-coding RNA, 3158 nt
Organism: Dunckerocampus dactyliophorus (ringed pipefish)
Lineage: Eukaryota; Metazoa; Chordata; Actinopteri; Syngnathiformes; Syngnathidae
Exons: 4
Source: RefSeq, a predicted model, not a curated record